Molecule: non-coding RNA, 114 nt
Organism: Acanthosepion pharaonis
Lineage: Eukaryota; Metazoa; Mollusca; Cephalopoda; Sepiida; Sepiidae
Source: the annotation of a GenBank genome assembly
UUACGGUCACAUCACAUUGAAACACCGGUUCAUUAAUGAUCACCGAAGUUAAGCAACAUAGAACCUUGUCAGUACCUAGAUGGGUGACCGCUUGGGAAAUAUCAGAUGAUGUAA